Molecule: ribosomal RNA, 403 nt
Filed under: uncultured bacterium
Lineage: Bacteria
Description: bacterial SSU rRNA
Rfam family: Bacterial small subunit ribosomal RNA
Source: RNAcentral
AUUGAACGCUGGCGGCAUGCCUUACACAUGCAAGUCGAACGGCAGCACGGGAGCAAUCCUGGUGGCGAGUGGCGAACGGGUGAGUAAUAUAUCGGAACGUGCCCAGUCGUGGGGAUAACGUAGCGAAAGCUACGCUAAUACCGCAUACGAUCUAUGGAUGAAAGCGGGGGAUCGCAAGACCUCGCGCGAUUGGAGCGGCCGAUAUCAGAUUAGGUAGUUGGUGAGGUAAAGGCUCACCAAGCCGACGAUCUGUAGCUGGUCUGAGAGGACGACCAGCCACACUGGGACUGAGACACGGCCCAGACUCCUACGGAGGCAGCAGUGGGGAAUUUUUGGGACAAUGGGCGCAAGCCUGAUCCAGCAAUGCCGCGUGCAGGAUGAAGGGCCUUCGGGUUGGUUAAAC